RNAcentral lists this non-coding RNA (45 nucleotides) under Schistosoma mansoni. Lineage: Eukaryota; Metazoa; Platyhelminthes; Trematoda; Strigeidida; Schistosomatidae. The record is from RNAcentral.
AUUCAGUUGACGAGUCUCAAAUAGGAUGAAACGUGCGUCAUGGAU